GAGAGUAUAGCUCAGUGGUAGAGCGUGUGCUUAGCAUGCACGAGGUCCUGGGUUCAAUUCCCAGUACUCCUG
This 72-nucleotide transfer RNA is filed under the name Camelus bactrianus (Bactrian camel). It matches the Rfam family "tRNA". From Rfam's summary of the family: Transfer RNA (tRNA) molecules are approximately 80 nucleotides in length. Their secondary structure includes four short double-helical elements and three loops (D, anti-codon, and T loops). The record is from Rfam by way of RNAcentral. RNAcentral also lists the same sequence under 2 other names. Lineage: Eukaryota; Metazoa; Chordata; Mammalia; Artiodactyla; Camelidae.